Molecule: ribosomal RNA, 252 nt
Filed under: uncultured bacterium
Lineage: Bacteria
Description: partial 16S ribosomal RNA
Rfam family: Bacterial small subunit ribosomal RNA
Source: RNAcentral
UACGUAGGGGCAAGCGUUAUCCGGAAUUACUGGGUGUAAAGGGUGAGUAGGCGGCAUGGUAAGCCAGAUGUGAAAGCCUUGGGCUUAACCCGAGGAUUGCAUUUGGAACUAUCAAGCUAGAGUACAGGAGAGGAAAGCGGAAUUCCUAGUGUAGCGGUGAAAUGCGUAGAUAUUAGGAAGAACACCAGUGGCGAAGGCGGCUUUCUGGACUGAAACUGACGCUGAGGCACGAAAGCGUGGGGAGCGAACAGG